RNAcentral lists this ribosomal RNA (478 nucleotides) under uncultured bacterium. RNAcentral describes it as "bacterial SSU rRNA". It matches the Rfam family "Bacterial small subunit ribosomal RNA", at positions 28 to 507 of the family's 1533-position model. The record is from RNAcentral.
GAUGAACGCUGGCGGCGUGCUUAACACAUGCAAGUCGAACGGGAAAUACUUUAUUGAAACUUCGGUCGAUUUAAUUUAUUUCUAGUGGCGGACGGGUGAGUAACGCGUGGGUAACCUGCCUUAUACUGGGGGAUAACAGCCAGAAAUGGCUGCUAAUACCGCAUAAGCGCACAGAACCGCAUGGUUCCGUGUGAAAAACUCCGGUGGUAUAAGAUGGACCCGCGUUGGAUUAGCUAGUUGGCAGGGCAGCGGCCUACCAAGGCGACGAUCCAUAGCCGGCCUGAGAGGGUGAACGGCCACAUUGGGACUGAGACACGGCCCAGACUCCUACGGGAGGCAGCAGUGGGGAAUAUUGCACAAUGGGGGAAACCCUGAUGCAGCGACGCCGCGUGAAGGAAGAAGUAUCUCGGUAUGUAAACUUCUAUCAGCAGGGAAGAUAAUGACGGUACCUGACUAAGAAGCCCCGGNUAACUACGUG